GACGAACGCUGGCGGCGUGCUUAACACAUGCAAGUCGAACGGUAAGGCCCUUCGGGGUACACGAGUGGCGAACGGGUGAGUAACACGUGGGUGAUCUGCCCUGCACUUCGGGAUAAGCCUGGGAAACUGGGUCUAAUACCGGAUAGGACCACUGCCUGCAUGGGUGGUGGUGGAAAGCUUUUGCGGUGUGGGAUGGGCCCGCGGCCUAUCAGCUUGUUGGUGGGGUGAUGGCCUACCAAGGCGACGACGGGUAGCCGGCCUGAGAGGGUGACCGCCCACACUGGGACUGGGAUACGGCCCAGACGCGUACGGGAGGCAGCAGUGGAGAAUAUUGCACAAUGGGCGCAAGCCUGAUGCAGCGACGCCGCGUGAGGGAUGACGGCCUUCGGGUUGUAAACCUCUUUCAGCACCGACGAAGCGCAAGUGACGGUAGGUGCAGAAGAAGGACCGGCCAACUACGUGCCAGCAGCCGCCGUAA
RNAcentral lists this ribosomal RNA (478 nucleotides) under uncultured bacterium. RNAcentral's name for it is "partial 16S ribosomal RNA". It matches the Rfam family "Bacterial small subunit ribosomal RNA", at positions 28 to 523 of the family's 1533-position model. The record is from RNAcentral.